UUUAACUUAUUUCAAGAUUCUCUGAUUUUAGGAUCUCUCACUCUGAAUUCUUAAUCUUUUUCUUGAAAAGAUGAACUGAUAUUUUUAUGUCUAUGUCUUUGUUUGCAUCCACUUAAGCUGAUUUUUUGGCUCUCACUCUUUCAGCGUGCAGAAUCAAGUCCUUCGAGUAAGACGGUUCAAACGUCGAUUGAUGAUUCAGAUAACAUCAGCGAUUAUGAAAAUUUAGAGGUGACAUUGGCACCGAAAGAAAAGGGUAAAUCGCCCAAGGAUCUCUGUUUUACGGACGAGGCGACAGAACUGAGCACUGUCUAAGUUCCUCCUGAAUGGCUUUCAAAAUUCCAACUACCAUCGAGGUUCUCUGCCUCAGUAGAGUUGGAUACCCAGAAGGGAUAUCUCAUCAGCAGCCUAAAGUACUCUGAGCAACAGUGGAUUGCAAAAAAAAAAAUUAUUGCAGAGUAUCCUUGUAUGGUUAGCAGGAUACUAGACUAAGUUGACUUGGAAACUGAAUGGAUUGGUGUGGUCUAAAAAUCUAUUGCU
This is a non-coding RNA of Pocillopora verrucosa, 537 nucleotides long. Lineage: Eukaryota; Metazoa; Cnidaria; Anthozoa; Scleractinia; Pocilloporidae. The record is from RefSeq and is a predicted model, not a curated record.